CCUACGGGGUGCAGCAGUAGGGAAUCUUGCUCAAUGGGCGAAACCCUGAAGCAGCAACGCCGCGUGGAGGAUGAAGGUUUUCGGAUUGUAAACCUCUUUUGUUAGAGAAGAUAAUGACGGUAUCUAACGAAUAAGCACUGGCUAAUUACGUGCCAGCAGCUGCGGUAAUACGGAGGUGGCAAGCGUUACUCGGAAUGACUGGGCGUAAAGAGCGCGUAGGCGGGUUAGCAAGUCAGAUGUGAAAUCCUAUGGCUUAACCAGAGAACUGCAUUUGAAACUGUUAAUCUAGAGUAUGGGAGAGGUAAGUGGAAUUCUUGGUGUAGGGGUAAAAUCCGUAGAGAUCAAGAGGAAUACUCAUUGCGAAGGCGACCUGCUAGAACAUAACUGACGCUGAGGCGCGAAAGCGUGGGGAGCAAACAGGAUUAGAUACCCCAGUAGUC
RNAcentral lists this ribosomal RNA (440 nucleotides) under uncultured bacterium. RNAcentral's name for it is "partial 16S ribosomal RNA". It matches the Rfam family "Bacterial small subunit ribosomal RNA", at positions 338 to 795 of the family's 1533-position model. The record is from RNAcentral.